Molecule: microRNA precursor, 59 nt
Filed under: Tupaia belangeri chinensis (Chinese tree shrew)
Lineage: Eukaryota; Metazoa; Chordata; Mammalia; Scandentia; Tupaiidae
Description: Tupaia chinensis (Chinese tree shrew) microRNA tch-mir-9771p precursor
Source: miRBase by way of RNAcentral
UUUGGAAAAGUCAUGACAUUAUGUUUUUGUAUGCAAAAAUAUGUCAACUUUUCCAGUGA